AAAAAUCCCAAAGUUCUUCUCUCUGCUCUUAACUCUCAAAAAGAAAAAAUCGUGAGAUAACAACUGCCUGCUGCCGCUACCAGACUCAAAAACAAGAGAAGAAUCAACCUGACCGGUGGAGGGGUAAGUCUGAGUCAGCAGCCAAACACAAAAAAGUCGUCAGACGUAGGAGAACCUGAUUCGAGUGCAUCCAGGGACAGCGAAAGAAAGAGGCUGAAGUUGAUUUCUGACCGUAGACUUUGGCCAGCAAAACAAAGCAACCGCUUCGAGAUCCAUUAACUCAAUUUUCAGAAGAUUGCUUCUUCAAUUCCCUUGGAGGAUACUUGAGGGAUGUUGGCGCUGCGUUAGAAUUGUUAAGAGCUUCAGAAAUCACCCUACAUCCUGAUGAAUCGGUUCUGGAGAAACUAAAUUACUGGACGCGUCGCUUCCUGAAACAAGAAUUAUCCUCUAAUUUAAUUCAGGCGCAUAGACUCAAUAAGCAUAUUGCCAAGAGGUGGAUCAUGCUCUUAAGUGUCCUUACCAUGCAAACUUGGUUCGGUUGUCAAUCAGGUAAGUUAUGAAGCAUUACAACGCAGAUAGUUCAAGGAUUCUAAAAUCUUCU
Molecule: non-coding RNA, 601 nt
Organism: Prunus mume (Japanese apricot)
Lineage: Eukaryota; Viridiplantae; Streptophyta; Magnoliopsida; Rosales; Rosaceae
Source: RefSeq, a predicted model, not a curated record